GUUGAUCCUGGCUCAGAACGAACGCUGGCGGCGUGGUUGAUACAUGCAAGUCGGACGGGAACGUUCCCUUCGGGGAACUAGUACAGUGGCGGACGGGUGAGUAACGCGUGAUCAAUCUACCCUCAGGAGGGGGAUAGCCACUCGAAAGAGUGGGUAAUACCCCAUAAGACCACAGUCUCUCAUGAGACAGAGGUAAAACAGUUGGGAUCUUCGGACCUUCUGCCUGAGGAUGAGAUCGCGUCCUAUUAGCUUGUUGGUAGGGUAAUGGCCUACCAAGGCUUUGAUGGGUAGCCGGCCUGAGAGGGUGGACGGCCACACUGGAACUGAGACACGGUCCAGACUCCUACGGGAGGCAGCAGUGCUGAAUUAUUCGCCAAUGCGCGAAAGCGUGACGGUGCGACGCCGCGUGCGGGACGAAGGCUUUCGAGUCGUAAACCGCUGUCAGGGUCUAGGAAACCGCAGUCGUUAAUAGCGGCUGUGCUGACCAGGCCCAAAGGAAGCACAGGCUAAUCUCGUGCCAGCAGCCGCGGUAAUACGAGAUGUGCAAGCGUUGUUCGGAAUCACUGGGCAUAAAGGGUGCGCAGGCGGCUUAGUAAGUCAGGGGUGAAAUCCCUCGGCUCAACCGGGGAAUUGCUUUUGAUACUGCUAAGCUUGAGAGCGAAAGGGGCAAGUGGAAUUCCAGGUGUAGCGGUGGAAUGCGUAGAUAUCUGGGAGAACGCCGAUGGCGAAGGCAGCUUGCUGGGUCGCUUCUGACGCUCAGGCACGAAAGCUAGGGGAGCAAACAGGAUUAGAUACCCUGGUAGUCCUAGCUGUAAACGUUGGGUACUAGGUUCCGGGAUUUCUGAUGAUUUCGGGGCCGCAGUUAAUGCAUUAAGCACCCCGCCUGGGGAGUAUGGUCGCAAGGCUAAAACUCAAAGGAAUUGACGGGGGCUCACACAAGCGGUGGAGCAUGUUGUUCAAUUCGAAGCAACGCGAAGAACCUUACCUGGCCUUGACAUGCUAGAAGUACGAACCUGAAAGGGGGAGGACCGGUAUCCAGUCCGGAACUAGCACAGGUGCUGCAUGGCUGUCGUCAGCUCGUGUCGUGAGACGUUGGGUUAAGUCCCGUAACGAGCG
This 1116-nucleotide ribosomal RNA is filed under the name uncultured organism. RNAcentral's name for it is "bacterial SSU rRNA". It matches the Rfam family "Bacterial small subunit ribosomal RNA", at positions 11 to 1098 of the family's 1533-position model. The record is from RNAcentral.